RNAcentral lists this ribosomal RNA (501 nucleotides) under Kodamaea ohmeri. RNAcentral's name for it is "eukaryotic LSU rRNA". It matches the Rfam family "Eukaryotic large subunit ribosomal RNA", at positions 62 to 656 of the family's 3401-position model. The record is from RNAcentral. Lineage: Eukaryota; Fungi; Ascomycota; Pichiomycetes; Serinales; Debaryomycetaceae.
AAACCAACAGGGAUUGCCUCAGUAAGGGCGAGUGAACCGGCAAAAGCUCAAAUUUGAAAUCCCCCCGGGGAGUUGUAAUUUGAAGAUUGCGUCUUGGAGGCGACCGUGUCUAUGUUCCUUGGAACAGGACGUCACAGAGGGUGAGAAUCCCGUGCGGCACGGCCCCCGGCUCCUUAUAAGGCGCUCUCGACGAGUCGAGUUGUUUGGGAAUGCAGCUCAAAGUGGGUGGUAAAUUCCAUCUAAAGCUAAAUACAGGCGAGAGACCGAUAGCGAACAAGUACAGUGAUGGAAAGAUGAAAAGCACUUUGAAAAGAGAGUGAAACAGCACGUGAAAUUGUUGAAAGGGAAGGGCAUGCCGUCAGAUUGUCAGUGUGGGUAAGAAGCGGGGUACAAAGACUGUGGAACGUGGCCCUCGGGUGUUAUAGCCGCAGUUCAUGCCCCGUCUCUUUCCGAGGCCUGCUUUGAGGACACCGACGUAAUGACGGUACGCCGCCCGUCUUG